This 523-nucleotide ribosomal RNA is filed under the name uncultured bacterium. RNAcentral's name for it is "partial 16S ribosomal RNA". It matches the Rfam family "Bacterial small subunit ribosomal RNA", at positions 28 to 523 of the family's 1533-position model. The record is from RNAcentral.
GACGAACGCUGGCGGCGUGCCUAAUACAUGCAAGUCGAACGCAUUUUCUUUCACCGUAGCUUGCUACACCGAAAGAAAAUGAGUGGCGAACGGGUGAGUAACACGUGGGUAACCUGCCCAUCAGCGGGGGAUAACACUUGGAAACAGGUGCUAAUACCGCACAAUUCCAUUUACCGCGUGGUGGAUAGAUGAAAGGCGCUUUUGCGUCACUGAUGGAUGGACCCGCGGUGCAUUAGCUAGUUGGGGGGGUAACGGCCUACCAAGGCUGCGAUGCAUAGCCGAACUGAGAGGGUGAUCGGCCACACUGGGACUGAGACACGGCCCAGACUCCUACGGGAGGCAGCAGUAGGGAAUCUUCGGCAAUGGACGCAAGUCUGACCGAGCAACGCCGCGUGAGUGAAGAAGGUUUUCGGAUCGUAAAACUCUGUUGUUAGAGAAGAACAAGGAUGAGAGUGGAAAGUUCAUCCCUUGACGGUAUCUAACCAGAAAGCCACGGCUAACUACGUGCCAGCCGCCGCGGUAA